Molecule: ribosomal RNA, 203 nt
Filed under: uncultured bacterium
Lineage: Bacteria
Description: partial 16S ribosomal RNA
Rfam family: Bacterial small subunit ribosomal RNA
Source: RNAcentral
UGCGUAGGUGGCGGGGUAAGUCUGGUGUGAAAUCUCGGAGCUCAACUCCGAAACUGCACUGGAUACUGCCUUGCUCGAGUACUGGAGAGGAGAUUGGAAUUUACGGUGUAGCAGUGAAAUGCGUAGAUAUCGUAAGGAAGACCAGUGGCGAAGGCGAAUCUCUGGACAGUUACUGACACUGAGGACAGGCCAGGGGAGCGAAC